UGCGAGCGUUAAUCGGAAUUACUGGCGUAAAGCGUGCGCGGCGGUUCGCUGUGUCCGAUGUGAAAGCCCCGGGCUUAACCUGGGAAUGGCAUUGGAAACUGGCGGGCUUGGUGUGGCAGAGGGGGGUGGAAUUCCGCGUGUAGCAGUGAAAUGCGUAGAGAUGCGGAGGAACACCGAUGGCGAAGGCAGCCCCCUGGGCUAACACUGACGCUCAGGCACGAAAGCGUGGGGAGCAAACAGGAUCAGAUACCCUGGUAGUCCACGCCCUAAACGAUGUCGACUGGGUGGGGAAGUCCUGAGUACCGUAGCUAACGCGUGAAGUCGACCGCCUGGGGAGUACGGCCGCAAGGUUAAAACUCAAAGGAAUUGACGGGGACCCGCACAAGCGGUGGAUGAUGUGGAUUAAUUCGAUGCAACGCGAACAACCUUACCUACCCUUGACAUGUCCGAGAGCCUGAGAGGUGGGUGUGCCCGCAAGGCGUGCACAGAUGCUGCAUGGCUGUCGUCAGCUCGUGCC
This 517-nucleotide ribosomal RNA is filed under the name uncultured beta proteobacterium. RNAcentral's name for it is "bacterial SSU rRNA". It matches the Rfam family "Bacterial small subunit ribosomal RNA", at positions 533 to 1066 of the family's 1533-position model. Lineage: Bacteria; Pseudomonadati; Pseudomonadota; Betaproteobacteria. The record is from RNAcentral.